AAAUAUUCCAACACACUAUCUUGCUACUUUGUGACAAAAAGUGGAAUGUGUUGGCUUUUAUGUCCACGUGACACAUGAAUGCUGGGAAAGGACAGAGCAAACUCUAUGGUCUGAACUGUUCAAACGACUGUAAUACUAUAACUAACUGUGCUGAGUUUUGCUGUAACUUCUAAGUGUCCUGCUUCUAGAGGGGGCAGUCCCUCUGUUCCAUUGUAAUGGCCCUGUUUUCUAGGAGCUUCAUAUUGUUAGAGUAUAACCAAGCUCCACAGCAAUAAUACAUACAGUAAUGUGUCUUAAAAUUACACAAGCCGGGUUAAUCA
This is a non-coding RNA of Pelobates cultripes (western spadefoot toad), 320 nucleotides long. The record is from the annotation of a GenBank genome assembly. NCBI's taxonomy places the organism in Eukaryota, Metazoa, Chordata, Amphibia, Anura, Pelobatidae.